UACUCAGUGAGAGAAAAUGAUUAUAAUCAAUAAACGACAAAGGGGGAGAUUGUUAGAAUCCUUUGGAUUCUAAUUAUACGAGAAUUAAUGAAACUUGUGCCACAAGUUUGCAUAUACCGUGAGCUAAAGAAGGGAAGAGUCCUCGUAGCUUUUAAUUCUUUUAAUUUGUCAUUAAUUGAUUUAUAAUAGGAAUUAUUCUUCUAAAGAGUUAUUCUUAUUUUAACCCAAGACUUUCUUG
RNAcentral lists this long non-coding RNA (238 nucleotides) under Erythranthe guttata (spotted monkey flower). RNAcentral's name for it is "long non-coding RNA (EGUT_LNC000071)". The record is from RNAcentral. Lineage: Eukaryota; Viridiplantae; Streptophyta; Magnoliopsida; Lamiales; Phrymaceae.